Molecule: ribosomal RNA, 706 nt
Filed under: Staphylococcus aureus
Lineage: Bacteria; Bacillati; Bacillota; Bacilli; Caryophanales; Staphylococcaceae
Description: bacterial SSU rRNA
Rfam family: Bacterial small subunit ribosomal RNA
Source: RNAcentral
UUAGCGGCGGACGGGUGAGUAACACGUGGAUAACCUACCUAUAAGACUGGGAUAACUUCGGGAAACCGGAGCUAAUACCGGAUAAUAUUUUGAACCGCAUGGUUCAAAAGUGAAAGACGGUCUUGCUGUCACUUAUAGAUGGAUCCGCGCUGCAUUAGCUAGUUGGUAAGGUAACGGCUUACCAAGGCAACGAUGCAUAGCCGACCUGAGAGGGUGAUCGGCCACACUGGAACUGAGACACGGUCCAGACUCCUACGGGAGGCAGCAGUAGGGAAUCUUCCGCAAUGGGCGAAAGCCUGACGGAGCAACGCCGCGUGAGUGAUGAAGGUCUUCGGAUCGUAAAACUCUGUUAUUAGGGAAGAACAUAUGUGUAAGUAACUGUGCACAUCUUGACGGUACCUAAUCAGAAAGCCACGGCUAACUACGUGCCAGCAGCCGCGGUAAUACGUAGGUGGCAAGCGUUAUCCGGAAUUAUUGGGCGUAAAGCGCGCGUAGGCGGUUUUUUAAGUCUGAUGUGAAAGCCCACGGCUCAACCGUGGAGGGUCAUUGGAAACUGGAAAACUUGAGUGCAGAAGAGGAAAGUGGAAUUCCAUGUGUAGCGGUGAAAUGCGCAGAGAUAUGGAGGAACACCAGUGGCGAAGGCGACUUUCUGGUCUGUAACUGACGCUGAUGUGCGAAAGCGUGGGGAUCAAACAGGAUUAGAUAC